Molecule: ribosomal RNA, 486 nt
Filed under: Acinetobacter baumannii
Lineage: Bacteria; Pseudomonadati; Pseudomonadota; Gammaproteobacteria; Moraxellales; Moraxellaceae
Description: partial 23S ribosomal RNA
Source: RNAcentral
GGUUAAGCGACUAAGCGUACACGGUGGAUGCCCUGGCAGUCAGAGGCGAUGAAGGACGUGCUAAUCUGCGAAAAGCGCCGGCGAGGUGAUAUGAACCUUUGACCCGGCGAUGUCCGAAUGGGGAAACCCAGUGUGWUYCGWCACACUAUCGUUAACUGAAUACAUAGGUUAACGAGGCGAACCGGGGGAACUGAAACAUCUAAGUACCCCGAGGAAAAGAAAUCAACCGAGAUUCCCCCAGUAGCGGCGAGCGAACGGGGAGCAGCCCAGAGUCUGAAUCAGCUUGUGUGUUAGUGGAACGGUCUGGAAAGUCCGACGGUACAGGGUGAUAGUCCCGUACACGAAAAYACACAGGUUGUGAACUCGAAGAGUAGGGCGGGACACGUGGUAUCCUGUCUGAAUAUGGGGGGACCAUCCUCCAAGGCUAAAUACUCCUGACUGACCGAUAGUGAACCAGUACCGUGAGGGAAAGGCGAAAAGAACCCC